This 465-nucleotide ribosomal RNA is filed under the name uncultured Klebsiella sp. RNAcentral's name for it is "bacterial SSU rRNA". It matches the Rfam family "Bacterial small subunit ribosomal RNA", at positions 338 to 795 of the family's 1533-position model. The record is from RNAcentral. Lineage: Bacteria; Pseudomonadati; Pseudomonadota; Gammaproteobacteria; Enterobacterales; Enterobacteriaceae.
CCUACGGGUGGCUGCAGUGGGGAAUAUUGCACAAUGGGCGCAAGCCUGAUGCAGCCAUGCCGCGUGUGUGAAGAAGGCCUUCGGGUUGUAAAGCACUUUCAGCGGGGAGGAAGGCGUUAAGGUUAAUAACCUUGGCGAUUGACGUUACCCGCAGAAGAAGCACCGGCUAACUCCGUGCCAGCAGCCGCGGUAAUACGGAGGGUGCAAGCGUGAAUCGGAAUUACUGGGCGUAAAGCGCACGCAGGCGGUCUGUCAAGUCGGAUGUGAAAUCCCCGGGCUCAACCUGGGAACUGCAUUCGAAACUGGCAGGCUAGAGUCUUGUAGAGGGGGGUAGAAUUCCAGGUGUAGCGGUGAAAUGCGUAGAGAUCUGGAGGAAUACCGGUGGCGAAGGCGGCCCCAUGGACAAAGACUGACGCUCAGGUGCGAAAGCGUGGGGAGCAAACAGGAUUAGAUACCCGUGUAGUC